AAUAGAUACCCGGGUAGUCCACGCCGUAAACGAUGAAUACUAGGUGUCGGGGGUAUUACCACCCUCGGUGCCGCAGCAAACGCAAUAAGUAUUCCGCCUGGGGAGUACGGUCGCAAGAUUAAAACUCAAAGGAAUUGACGGGGACCCGCACAAGCAGCGGAGCAUGUGGUUUAAUUCGAAGCAACGCGAAGAACCUUACCUAGACUUGACAUCUCCUGAAUUACUCGUAAUGGAGGAAGCCCUUCGGGGCAGGAAGACAGGUGGUGCAUGGUUGUCGUCAGCUCGUGUCGUGAGAUGUUGGGUUAAGUCCCGCAACGAGCGCAACCCUUAUCGUUAGUUGCUACCAUUAAGUUGAGCACUCUAACGAGACUGCCGCGGUUAACGUGGAGGAAGGUGGGGAUGACGUCAAAUCAUCAUGCCCCUUAUGUCUAGGGCUACACACGUGCUACAAUGGCCGGUACAACGAGAUGCAAACCCGUGAGGGGGAGCCAAACUUCAAAGCCGGUCCCAGUUCGGAUUGUAGGCUGAAACUCGCCUACAUGAAGUCGG
Molecule: ribosomal RNA, 549 nt
Filed under: uncultured bacterium
Lineage: Bacteria
Description: bacterial SSU rRNA
Rfam family: Bacterial small subunit ribosomal RNA
Source: RNAcentral